GAUGAACGCUGGCGGCGUGCCUAACACAUGCAAGUCGAACGGUAGCCUUGGAUUCGUCUGAGGUGAGAGUGGCAAACGGGUGAGUAACACGUAGGUGACCUACCCCAAAGAGGGGAAUAACUGCUGGAAACGGUAGCUAAUACCUCAUGUGCCUGGUGAUUCGGUUCACCAGGUAAAGCCGAAAGACGCUUUGGGAUGGACCUGCGGCCCAUCAGGUAGUUGGUAGGGUAAUGGCCUACCAAGCCGAUGACGGGUAGGGGGUGUGAGAGCGCGACCCCCCACACUGGCACUGCGACACGGGCCAGACUCCUACGGGUGGCUG
This 322-nucleotide ribosomal RNA is filed under the name uncultured Chloroflexota bacterium. Its description in RNAcentral is "bacterial SSU rRNA". It matches the Rfam family "Bacterial small subunit ribosomal RNA", at positions 28 to 351 of the family's 1533-position model. The record is from RNAcentral. Lineage: Bacteria; Bacillati; Chloroflexota.